RNAcentral lists this transfer RNA (94 nucleotides) under Leifsonia sp. Root227. It matches the Rfam family "tRNA". From Rfam's summary of the family: Transfer RNA (tRNA) molecules are approximately 80 nucleotides in length. Their secondary structure includes four short double-helical elements and three loops (D, anti-codon, and T loops). Lineage: Bacteria; Bacillati; Actinomycetota; Actinomycetes; Micrococcales; Microbacteriaceae. The record is from Rfam by way of RNAcentral.
GGGUCGGUAGCUCAGUGGCAGAGCAAAGGGCAGCACCCCGGGCCGCGUAAGCGGGCUGUAUCCCUGGUCGGAGGUUCGAAUCCUCCCCGAUCCA